This 207-nucleotide long non-coding RNA is filed under the name Apteryx owenii (little spotted kiwi). Its description in RNAcentral is "lncRNA (ENSAOWG00000013373.1)". Lineage: Eukaryota; Metazoa; Chordata; Aves; Apterygiformes; Apterygidae. The record is from RNAcentral.
UAAAUGCGCCGUGCACCCUGGUCUCUGUAGAGCUCAUUCCCCAGAGCAGUCCCUGACUUGCAGAAGUCCCCGCAGCACUCCCACGCUGAGGCACGUCUCCUGCUUGAUCACCCUCAGUCACUGCUGGCCCCUGCCAUCCCUGAGUCAUGGGGCAAACAGAUGGAGAACUAAAGAAUCGACAAACUAAGAUGUAAGAAAGAAUACCAA